CUUACUCUGUAAGCUUUUCUCUUCUUUUUUUUUUAAUAACAGUGAACGCUUUUCUCUGUAUCUCAUCUAACAGAUUCAUUUUUUCUUCUUCUUCUUCUUCUCUCUGCACCAUCCAUGGCGUAAGGUCCACCAUCUCUCCUAUUUCAACCGUCUCUCACCACCACAAGUCACCUGCAAUCACGUUCGUGACUUCGCCGAACCGGGGCGUCCAAGGCCAGCCAAGCUCCGUCAAGAGAAUCCUCAACCUCUGUAUCUCGCUUUUGAGAGUCGCCGCUCAAAGUCCAAGGAAGAACACGCCCUCUACAGCGCCGGCCCAUGAGAAGAAUCAGCGCCGUCGGAGACAAACCCUAGAACCCCAUCGUCCUCCGAACGGAGGUUGAGUGGAUUCUAAGAAGCAAGGAGGUGGGGGAGACAUAAACACAGUGGAGAAAAAACAAGAAAAAAGGAGAAGAUGAAGAAGCUUGGAGGCCUCCACGACCUUUGCUAUCCGUGGUUCGACGGCGGCGUUAAGAAAAGAGGAGGCCUGGUUUUCUUACUAGGUUUAGUUUUGGUUUAGUUUUGGUUUAGUUUUAGUUUAGUUUUGGUUUAGUUUUGGUUUAGUUUUAGUUUAGUUUUGGUUUAGUUUUGGUUAGGUUUUGGUUUAUACUUUUAAUUUGUAAAUCAUAUUCUUUUUUUACAUUAAUAAAAAAUUAAAUAUAUAAACGAGUUUAAAUUUUAAUUAUGUUUCUAAUAUUUAAUUAAUUUUUAUU
This is a long non-coding RNA of Raphanus sativus (radish), 749 nucleotides long. RefSeq lists it as uncharacterized. The record is from RefSeq and is a predicted model, not a curated record. NCBI's taxonomy places the organism in Eukaryota, Viridiplantae, Streptophyta, Magnoliopsida, Brassicales, Brassicaceae. The transcript is spliced from 2 exons.